AAAGCCGUUUACAGAGUUCCUUCUGGCUAAAGAACAAAAUGAAAAUUCUUCCAAUUUUUGUUUCCUAUACUUCACAGAAUUCAUAGAAGAGACAAGAUAUACUUCAAACGUCUCGAAGAUAGGUGAGAGGUAAAGUAUAGCGAAGAAAGACGGUUGAUAGACGUCAGGGCUUUAAUGUGUCUAUGCCCAGGAAAGCAAAACGUUCAAGAAUAUGACAGAUGCCUGACGGCAGGUAUUCGUUUGGUUGAACGUUUCUGAACAGUUUCCAGGAGAUUGAUAUGCUGAGCAAGAUAGAUGUCCCAGAUUGGAAAAUAGGGGUUCCAGACUAAAAAAACAGGGCUUCCAGACCCCUAUUUGAACUCUAUGUGUGGAGGUACCAUAGUCAUACAGUUUUAAAUGUGACAGCUGGAGCGCAGUUGUUGAGGGAGUAUGUUAAAGCUGAGAUUUUAUUUAUACACAUACACAUAUUGUAUAUGGAGAAUAAGGAUAACUGAAUGCGUGCCUGUUAUUUGUAGGUUUGUUUGUAUAUCGAUAUAUACAUGCGCAUGUAUAUAAGAAAUAUAUAAUGGCAGGAUAUUAUCCGUUUCAAAAACCAUAAUUCUACGUGAUAAUAAAACAUUUGUACACGGAACGAA
Octopus bimaculoides (California two-spot octopus) is the source of this 635-nucleotide long non-coding RNA. RefSeq lists it as uncharacterized. The record is from RefSeq and is a predicted model, not a curated record. NCBI's taxonomy places the organism in Eukaryota, Metazoa, Mollusca, Cephalopoda, Octopoda, Octopodidae.